GGAGGGAGCGAGCGUUGUUCGGAAUCACUGGGCGUAAAGGGCGCGUAGGCGGCCGAGUAAGUCGUGUGUGAAAGACCGGGGCUCAACUCCGUGUACUGCAUGCGAUACUGCCCGGCUAGAGAAAGGUAGAGGCGAGUGGAAUUCCCGGUGUAGCGGUGGAAUGCGUAGAUGUCGGGAAGAACACCUGUGGCGAAGGCGGCUCGCUGGGCCUUUUCUGACGCUGAAGUGCGAAAGCGUGGGGAGCAAACAGGAUUAGAUACCCUGGUAGUCCACGCCGUAAACGAUGGGCACUAGGCGUUGGGAGGAUUGACCCUCUCAGUGCCGUUGCUAACGCGUUAAGUGCCCCCGCCUGGGGAUACGGCCGCAAGGCUG
Molecule: ribosomal RNA, 372 nt
Filed under: uncultured organism
Description: partial 16S ribosomal RNA
Rfam family: Bacterial small subunit ribosomal RNA
Source: RNAcentral